AAGAAAGAAGCAUAAGAGGUUUUGAAUGCGGUUGGCUUGAAACCAGCUUAUGGGGGUUCGAUUCCUCCCUUUCUUG
RNAcentral lists this transfer RNA (76 nucleotides) under Pteroglossus azara flavirostris (yellow-billed aracari). RNAcentral's name for it is "tRNA-Ser". It matches the Rfam family "tRNA". Rfam says of the family: Transfer RNA (tRNA) molecules are approximately 80 nucleotides in length. Their secondary structure includes four short double-helical elements and three loops (D, anti-codon, and T loops). Lineage: Eukaryota; Metazoa; Chordata; Aves; Piciformes; Ramphastidae. The record is from RNAcentral.